UGGGGAAUAUUGCACAAUGGGCGCAAGCCUGAUGCAGCCAUGCCGCGUGUAUGAAGAAGGCCUUCGGGUUGUAAAGUACUUUCAGCGGGGAGGAAGGGAGUAAAGUUAAUACCUUUGCUCAUUGACGUUACCCGCAGAAGAAGCACCGGCUAACUCCGUGCCAGCAGCCGCGGUAAUACGGAGGGUGCAAGCGUUAAUCGGAAUUACUGGGCGUAAAGCGCACGCAGGCGGUUUGUUAAGUCAGAUGUGAAAUCCCCGGGCUCAACCUGGGAACUGCAUCUGAUACUGGCAAGCUUGAGUCUCGUAGAGGGAGGUAGAAUUCCAGGUGUAGCGGUGAAAUGCGUAGAGAUCUGGAGGAAUACCGGUGGCGAAGGCGGCCCCCUGGACAAAGACUGACGCUCAGGUGCGAAAGCGUGGGGAGCAAACAGG
RNAcentral lists this ribosomal RNA (429 nucleotides) under Chloroflexota bacterium. Its description in RNAcentral is "Chloroflexi bacterium partial 16S ribosomal RNA". It matches the Rfam family "Bacterial small subunit ribosomal RNA", at positions 355 to 776 of the family's 1533-position model. Lineage: Bacteria; Bacillati; Chloroflexota. The record is from RNAcentral.